This 2345-nucleotide long non-coding RNA is filed under the name Panax ginseng (ginseng). Its description in RNAcentral is "long non-coding RNA (PGIN_LNC012678)". The record is from RNAcentral. Lineage: Eukaryota; Viridiplantae; Streptophyta; Magnoliopsida; Apiales; Araliaceae.
AUCGAACUACCGUGAUUGUUGAAGUUCAGUAACAAAAUCGCAGCAACUUCGAUAAAAUCUGAAUACUGAGGUAAGUGAUUCAUAUGCAUAUAGUUACCUCUGUUUUCUACGAAUUCCUAUAUUGAUAACUUUUCUUAAGUUUUUCACGUUUAAAAUGGUUACUACAAAUACCUAUAACGAUUGUUUUAUUCAUUGAUAUGUUUUGUAUUAUGGUUACUAAAUAUAUAUAAAUUGGUUACUGUUUAUUGUGUAUUUAUUUUUAAAUAAUGUUUAUUUGAUGGCUUUAUAAUUUUUAAAUGAGUUCUCCUGAUUUUUUUAUAUUAAUGGUUACUCAUCAAAUAAAUUAGUUACCUUCAUGCAACUGUUGUUUACUUUCUAAUAUUGUUUUGGUUACUGUCUAAUGCUGACUUGGUUACUAUCUAAUGAUGUAUUGGAUUCUGUGUAACAAUAUAUUGGUUACUAAUUAAUGCUGAUUCGGUUACUGUGUAGCAUUAUAUGGUUACUGAAUAUUGCUGAGUUGGUUGCUGUGUAAAAUUAUAAUGAUUAGUGAAUAAUAUUACUGAACAUUGCUGAUCGGUUAUUGAAAAAUGAUGACUUGGUUACUGACUAAUUUUUAUUUGGUUACUGUUUAACAUUAUAUUGGUUACUGUCUAAUGCUGUUUUGGUUACUGACUAUUGCUGACUUGUUUACUGUGUAAAACUAUAAUGGUUACUGACUAUUGUUGACUUGUUUACUGUGUAAAGCUAUAAUGGUUACUGACUAAUGCUGACUUGGUUACUGUGUAAAAUUAUAUUGCUGACUUGGUUACUGUGUAAAAUUAUCUAGUGACUAAUGCUGACUUAAUUGGUUACUGACCAAUGCUGAAUUGGUUACUGACUAAUGCAAACUUAAUUACUGCAGAGAUUAUUGGUUACUGUAAUAUUGGUUGCUGAAGCAUAUUAAUGUAUAAUGUUGUCAAGUUUGGAGUGUCAGAUUUUGGCAUUUUCGGAGCCUAAUUUCAUUGGAAACGGAUCAACGAUAAAAAAUCACUAGCUUUGCUGGUGAACUGCAUGGUUUUUUGGUCAAAUUCCAUCAUUUAGGCCUUCAAAACUGCAUGUAAAAAUUUGGUUUAUUUUCUGGUUACUAAGAUUAUGUAGUUUGGUUACUGUCUAAUAUUGAUUUGGUUACUUUAUAAUGUUUAUUCAGUUGUCAGACAAUGGAGACUGACAGUAACCAAUACAACAAAUUUAAUUAUUUACAGGAAUAUAUAAUUGUUUAAUGUUAGUAACCAUUAACCACAUGGUUGGUAACAUUUUUGAUGGUGUACAGUAACCAAAAUUGAUGUUGAUUAACAAAGUCAGUAUACUGAUUGUUUUGAUAACAAAGUCAGUAUACUGACUGUGUAACAUUAUAUUGUCUAAUGUUGUCUUAGUUACUGACUAAUGUUGUCUUGGUUACUGCAUAAUAUUACUAAUUCAUGCUGACUUGGUUACUGACUAAUGCUGACUUGGUUACUGCAUAAUAUUACUAAUUAAUGCUGACUUGGUUACUGACUAAUGCUGAUUUGGUUACUAAGUAAUAUUAUAUUGGUUACUGACUAAUGUUGACUUGCUUACUGUGUAACACUAUAAUGGUUAUUGACUAAUUCUGAAUUGGUUACUGUAUAAAAUUAUAAUGCUGACUUGGUUACUGUGUAAAAAUAUUAUUUAGUGACUCAUGCUGACUUGGUUACUGACUAAUGCAAACUUAAUUACCGCAGUGAUUAAUUGGUUACUGUAUUAUUGGUUGCUGAAUCAUAUUAAUGUACACUUCUACUUAUGUUUUUUAUAUUAAUGGUUACUUGUUAGCCAAAUUGGUUACAUUCUUACAAAAGUCUACCUUUAGUUGGUAACAAACAAAUUAUACUGGUUGUUUUUUACUGUAAAAUGCAAUGAAAAAUGUGUUUAUGUUUUGGUUACUACAUAGACAUAUGUUGGUUACUGUCUAAUCUAAAUUUGGUUACUGUAUAAUGUUAUUAUGAUUACUGUAUAAUAUUAGUGUAUUUUAUACUGGUUUGUUUUAUAUUGACGAUUACUUAUUGACUACAUUGCUUAACUUCGUACAACUGUUAGUCUUUAGGUGGUAACAAACUGAUGCGGUUGAAGAGCAGGCGUGUCAAUUUCUGUAAAGAUUUGAUCCAGUGAGAAUUUGGUAAUUUUUGACAAGUUUGGAGUGUCGAAUUUUGGCGUUUUCGGAGCCUAAUUUCAUUGGAAACGGGUCAACGAUCAAAAGUCACAAGCUUUGCUGGUGAACUGCAGGAUUUUUUGAUCAAAUUCCAUCAUUUAGACCUUCAAAAUUGCAUGUAAAAAUUUGGUUUAUAUUCUGG